Schistosoma mattheei is the source of this 45-nucleotide non-coding RNA. The record is from Rfam. Lineage: Eukaryota; Metazoa; Platyhelminthes; Trematoda; Strigeidida; Schistosomatidae.
AUCCAGCUGACGAGUCCCAAGUACCACGAAACGCGCGUCCUAGAU